GACGAACGCUGGCGGCGCGCCUAACACAUGCAAGUCGAACGGAGCGCAGUUGAAGAACCACUUCGGUGGUGAUUUGGCUGUUGCUUAGUGGCGAACGGGUGAGUAACACGUGAGCAACCUGCCCUUCAGUGGGGGACAACAUUUGGAAACAGAUGCUAAUACCGCAUAAGACCACGGUGUCGCAUGGCACUGAGGCCAAAGCAGCAAUGCGCUGAAGGAGGGGCUCGCGCCCGAUUAGGUAGAUGGUGGGGUAAAGGCCUACCAUGCCGACGAUCGGUAGCCGGACUGAGAGGUUGAACGGCCACAUUGGGACUGAGACACGGCCCAGACUCCUACGGGAGGCAGCAGUGGGGGAUAUUGCACAAUGGGCGAAAGCCUGAUGCAGCGACGCCGCGUGAGGGAAGAAGGUUUUCGGAUUGUAAACCUCUGUCUUCGGGGACGAAGAAGUGACGGUACCCGAGGAGGAAGCCACGGCUAACUACGUGCCAGCAGCCGCAGUAACAC
This 504-nucleotide ribosomal RNA is filed under the name uncultured bacterium. Its description in RNAcentral is "bacterial SSU rRNA". It matches the Rfam family "Bacterial small subunit ribosomal RNA", at positions 28 to 526 of the family's 1533-position model. The record is from RNAcentral.